AAAGAUGCAGAGUGGUACAGGCUGAAAGCGGAGCGGAGAGGACACUGUUUCAAGAUUCCUGCACCAGCUCCUUCGUUGUUAUAGAAGUUGGACUAAAUAAAAGGGUAAUCACAAGCAUACAGAUAACAGGCAGGCAGGAAUGUGAAAAUCAGAGAGAAGAGAGAUGUGCACCAGACGUUGGAGCAAUGUGCUUUGAAGAUGGAGGAAGGGACCAUAAAUGAAGGAAUGAAGACAGCCUGUAGAAGCUGGGAAAGGCAAGGAUGUGGAUUCACUCAAGAGUGUCUAGAAGAAAUGCAACCCCACCAACACCUUGAUUUGAGGACUUCUGACCUUCAGAAUGAGAAAAUGAUACAUUUGUGUUGUAAGCCACCCAGUUUGUGAAAUAUGUAUCAACAAUUGAAAACUAGUACAUAGUCAGAUACUCUAUCUCUGUUUUUUUAGCUUAUUAUUUUCAAUCUCUGUCUCCAACCCACAAGCCACAUGCAUCAUAAAUGAAUUAAAAUACCAAAACUUU
Molecule: long non-coding RNA, 514 nt
Filed under: Pongo abelii (Sumatran orangutan)
Lineage: Eukaryota; Metazoa; Chordata; Mammalia; Primates; Hominidae
Description: lincRNA
Source: RNAcentral